GUUAUGUUUACAAAUGAGUUAAUCCAGCCUGUAGUGGCUGUCUCAUUUAGAGGCGCUUCCGCGUUUCUCACUGGGAGAAGACGCCAGCGUCUGUAGCCAUGCUUUCCUAUGAGACUAGCUGAAUGUGCGCGUGGCUCUAGCCCCGCAUGCAGCUGAUGACAUCAGAAGAGGGAGGAGAGUCCCAGCGCCGCUGGAAAAGAGGUAAG
Pelobates cultripes (western spadefoot toad) is the source of this 206-nucleotide non-coding RNA. NCBI's taxonomy places the organism in Eukaryota, Metazoa, Chordata, Amphibia, Anura, Pelobatidae. The record is from the annotation of a GenBank genome assembly.